GUUUUCUUUGGCAGCACAUAUACUAAAAUUGGAAUGAUAUAGAACUUAGCAUGGCCACUGCACAAGAAUGACACACAAAUUCAUGAAAUGCUCCAUAUUUUU
Nyctereutes procyonoides (raccoon dog) is the source of this 102-nucleotide small nuclear RNA. The record is from RefSeq and is a predicted model, not a curated record. NCBI's taxonomy places the organism in Eukaryota, Metazoa, Chordata, Mammalia, Carnivora, Canidae.